AUGGUGGAGCAAUUGCACAACAUGGACUUUCAUCCUCCUAAACUCGCGGGGAGACAUAUCUCCAUCCUACUCUAUGCUGACGAUGCAGCACUGAUUUCAAGAACUCCAAUAGGCCUCAAAAGAGCUUUGAAAUCAUUGGCACAAUAUUGCAGAGAGGAUCAGUUACAACUCAAUUAUCACAAAACAAAAAUCAUGGUGUUUGCCAAAAGACCUAAGCUCCACCAUUGGAAUAUAGAUGAUAAAAAAAUUGAGCAGGUUCCAUGUUUUAAAUAUCUGGGGGUAGUCUUCCACUCUUCAGGCAGCAGAAAAGCACAUGGAGGCUAUGUGGCUGAGAAUGCAUAUAGGAGUUCAUCUGCCAUAUUAAAAUACCUGAGGUCAAAGGGGGGGGGGCAAUUUAUACCCGCAGCUCUCAAACUUUUUGAAGCCAAGUCAAUGGCCCAACUCCUUUAUGGUGCCCAGAUAGGACCUUUUUCUGACUUUGCCCCACUGGAGACUGUCCAAUCCAAAUUUUUAAGAUCAGCCCUACAGGUUCCAAAGUGUGUGUGUAACGCUAUCCUACGCCUGGAGACUGGCUUCUUGAGAGUGGAGGCCAGGGUGUGGAUGGUAAUAUUGAAUUACUGGCUGAGACUAUCCCCCGCACCCCUGGGCCUUGCCCCACUCACUAUGAAGGACAACUUCCAAUCCAGCUGGCAAAAGAAGAUAGUGCACAAAAUUGCAUCUCUUGGUCUAUCCCCAGAACUACUAACCAGCAUGGGAUAUGACCAGGCCAAAUCCCUGGUCAAGCAACGUAUAACAGACAUUGAACACCAAUUAGAUCUGUCCAGUGCCCCAUCCUUCAUCACCAAUGGAGACAGUAGGAGCCAUACCUCCCCUAUGGAAUAUCUUACUAUGUUGGAGGUAGCCAACCAUCGGAGAGCCUUCACUUUGGCACGAUGUCAUGCGCUCCCAUCCGCAGUACUGGAAGGUCGUUACCAGAAGAUUCCAUACUCUGAGAGGCUAUGUCCAUGUGACUCAGGUCAGAUAGAAACAACGGAGCAUGUACUUCUGCAGUGCCUGUUUUACAGAGACAUUCGAACACGUCUCAUCAUGCCAUGGACAACUAAAUACCCAGGAUGUUCUGGACAAUUUUACGUAACCUUAUUGCUCUCAGAUACCAUCUCAGCUGUGACAUAUAAUGUCGCCAAGUUCUGCACAGCUGCAAUUAAAAUCCGGCAGAUGAUGAUUGAGAGCCAAAAGAACUAA
RNAcentral lists this long non-coding RNA (1242 nucleotides) under Anolis carolinensis (green anole). RNAcentral describes it as "lncRNA (ENSACAG00000035579.1)". The record is from RNAcentral. Lineage: Eukaryota; Metazoa; Chordata; Lepidosauria; Squamata; Anolidae.